UUUGGUAGAAGGUAGUAUAGUGAAGUACUAAAGAUUUUGAGUCUUUGUGUGCGGGUUCAAGUCCCGUUCUUCUAA
RNAcentral lists this transfer RNA (75 nucleotides) under Cophosaurus texanus. RNAcentral's name for it is "tRNA-Gln". It matches the Rfam family "tRNA". From Rfam's summary of the family: Transfer RNA (tRNA) molecules are approximately 80 nucleotides in length. Their secondary structure includes four short double-helical elements and three loops (D, anti-codon, and T loops). Lineage: Eukaryota; Metazoa; Chordata; Lepidosauria; Squamata; Phrynosomatidae. The record is from RNAcentral.